Molecule: long non-coding RNA, 743 nt
Filed under: Homo sapiens (human)
Lineage: Eukaryota; Metazoa; Chordata; Mammalia; Primates; Hominidae
Description: long non-coding RNA NONHSAT114653.2
Source: RNAcentral
AGGGAGAAGAGGAAACUUUCCACUUAUUCACCAUCAUUCAUUCCAACUGCUAAACAGAUCCAGGCUCCUAACAGCUAAUAAAUGAAACUGAGAGGUUUGAGAAGACAAUAAUUUAAGACAGGGUCUCACUCUGUUGCCCGGAUUGGAGGGCAGUGGCACAAUCAUGGCUCACUGCAGCCUCAACCUCCUGGCCUUAAUCAAUCCUCCCACUUCAGCCUCCUGAGUAGCUGGGACCACAGUUUUCAGCAAAGAGACAAAUACACAACUGUUUGUAUUUGUGCUGCUUUUUUUUCCCAUUACCAUACGUGAAUGGAAUGAACAGCUUCUCUGAGGAUGGAUAGUGUAAGAUGUGGAAUUCCUGCCUGCUAUCUUGUAAGGAGCUAUUUGCAUAUGAAAUUUUGUGGACAUGAGAUUGAAAAUGCGUGAUUUAUAAGCAAAAGGAAAAAAAAACCUUUAAGCCUUCAUGCCCUGCAUUUCAAAUUUCUGGCUGAUUUAUAAACCUUUCAAAGCUCAUGCUAUGAAGCAAUUCAAAAUUUCUAUGUCUAUACAUGUUUAGCUAACAUUAACUCAGCUAGCCGCCCCGUGGCAUUUUCCGUGCUAGUCUUCAUUUUUUCCCUCUAUAUUUUUUCUCGUCUCGCUUUUUUAGAAAUGUUAUUCCUAUUUCUGUCACACUGUCACCUUUUAGUCUGUCUUGCAAGAAUGUAACAUCAGCCGCCAAAUGAACCUAGGAAAGAAGAAAAAAA